GGCGAACGCUGGCGGCGGGCUUAACACAUGCAAGUCGAACGGAAAGGCCCCUUUGGGGGUACUCGAGUGGCGAACGGGUGCGUAACACGUGAGUAACCUGCCCUUGACUUCGGGAUAACUUCAGGAAACUGGGGCUAAUACCGGAUAGGAAUCCUUGCUGCAUGGUGGGGGUUGGAAAGCUUCGGCGGUUUUGGAUGGACUCGCGGCUUAUCAGCUUGUUGGUGGGGUAGUGGCUUACCAAGGCUUUGACGGGUAGCCGGCCUGAGAGGGCGACCGGCCACAUUGGGACUGAGAGACGGCCCAGACUCCUACGGGAGGCAGCAGUGGGGAAUAUUGCACAAUGGGCGGAAGCCUGAUGCAGCAACGCCGCGUGCGGGAUGACGGCCUUCGGGUUGUAAACCGCUUUCAGCAGGGGCGAAGCUUGUGGUGACGGUACCUGCAGAAGAAGCACCGGCUAACUACGUG
RNAcentral lists this ribosomal RNA (465 nucleotides) under uncultured bacterium. Its description in RNAcentral is "partial 16S ribosomal RNA". It matches the Rfam family "Bacterial small subunit ribosomal RNA", at positions 28 to 507 of the family's 1533-position model. The record is from RNAcentral.